This is an unclassified non-coding RNA of Callithrix jacchus (white-tufted-ear marmoset), 299 nucleotides long. It matches the Rfam family "Metazoan signal recognition particle RNA". From Rfam's summary of the family: The signal recognition particle (SRP) is a universally conserved ribonucleoprotein. It is involved in the co-translational targeting of proteins to membranes. The record is from Ensembl. Lineage: Eukaryota; Metazoa; Chordata; Mammalia; Primates; Cebidae.
GCCGGGCAUGGUGGCACGUGCCUUAGUCCCAGCUACUCGGGAGGCUGAGGUGGGAGGAUGGCUUGAGCCCAGAAGUUCUGGGCUGUAGUGCACUAUGCUGAUCUGGUGUCCGCACUAAGUUCAGCAUCAAUAUGGUGACCUCCGGGGAGCGGGGGACCACCAGGUUGCCUAAGGAGGGGUGAACUGGCCCAGCUCGGAAACGGAGCAGGUCAAAACUCCAGUGCUGAUCAGUAGUGAGAUCACACCUGUGAAUAGCCACUGCACUCCAGCCUGGGCAACAUAGCGAGACCCCAUCUCAA